This 253-nucleotide ribosomal RNA is filed under the name uncultured bacterium. Its description in RNAcentral is "partial 16S ribosomal RNA". It matches the Rfam family "Bacterial small subunit ribosomal RNA", at positions 524 to 776 of the family's 1533-position model. The record is from RNAcentral.
UACGGGGGGGGCAAGCGUUGUUCGGAAUUACUGGGCGUAAAGGGCUCGUAGGUGGCCAACUAAGUCAGACGUGAAAUCCCUCGGCUUAACCGGGGAACUGCGUCUGAUACUGGAUGGCUUGAGUUCGGGAGAGGGAUGCGGAAUUCCAGGUGUAGCGGUGAAAUGCGUAGAUAUCUGGAGGAACACCGGUGGCGAAGGCGGCAUCCUGGACCGACAUUGACGCUGAGGAGCGAAAGCCAGGGGAGCAAACGGG